Molecule: long non-coding RNA, 2165 nt
Organism: Equus asinus (donkey)
Lineage: Eukaryota; Metazoa; Chordata; Mammalia; Perissodactyla; Equidae
Source: Ensembl
GGGCACACAUAGAGGAAAGACCACCUGAGGACACAGGAGCUGGUGGGCGUCUGCAUGCUAGGGAGAGAGGCCUCAGGAGAAACCAACCCUGUGGACACCUUGAUGUCAGACCUCCAGCCUCCAGAACCAUGAGAGAGAAAUUUCCAUUGUUUACAAGCUCCCCGGUUGAUGUAUUUUGUAGGGCAGCUCUAGAAAAGUAACACAUUACCCAAAGACAGGUGUUGGCCCUCAUUUUUGCUUUUGGGAGAGUGAUUCUCACGAUUUAGGCAGACAGAGAAGUUUCCUUUUAAACCUAGUGCCUGGAACAGAAUUUUUUUAAACUUAGAAUUCCAUUGAUAAAAUUGAAGAUGAUUUGGUUGAAUUCAAAGUCGAGGCUGAAAAUAAUUAAAAUGGGAAAGCAUUAAAAAAAUGGUGAAGGCAAGAUUGAAAUUGUGGGAAAAGGUGAGAAAGAAAGCCGAUAAAGCCAAUAGUAAUGGAGCAAAUAAGGAAUAAAAUCACUUUAGGAAGAUUAGCCCUGAGCUAACAUCUACUGCCAAUCCUCCUCCUCUUGCUGAGGAAGACCAGCCCUGAGCUCACAUCCGUGCCCAUCUACCUCCACUUCACAUGUGGGACACCUACCACAGCAUGGCCCGCCAAGCUGUGCCAUGUCCACACCCGGGAUCCGAACCAGUGAACCCUGGGCCACCGAAGCGGAACUGUGCGCACUUAACUGCUGCGCCACCAGGCCAGCCCCAGAAGAUUUCAUUUGAUCCUGCUUUUCUGGAGCAAUGCCACCAACUUCAUUUGUAAUGUGCUGCCUUUGUCUUUGGGUGGAAAAUGGUGGAAGAACAGAGGAGCAGGUGUCCUUUAUAUGCACAUAACCUCAUAAACUUCAAUUGAUUCGUUGCCACCUGUUAUCAAACGACACCUGCAUAACAGACUGCAGAUAACAAAAGAGGCAUUCAGGGGCAGACAACUACGGUUAUGCAAUUGAAAGUCAAGGUUGCAUCUUUGAGUCCACCUAGAUAGUUGUGGGCAUUUCCUUUUUUUUCCUCAAUAGUAAAUACAUUCAUAUGGUUCAUAAAUUUAAAAAUAUGAAAUGGUUUACAGUGAAAACUUUUUUGGGUCCCUUGACUGUGCAGUUUUCAUCUCCCAGCCCUUACCGGUCACUAAUUAGUUUGAUCAGUUUCAGGACUAUUCUUCCAGAAUUUCUUCAGGCAAAUACAAGUGUCUACGACCUCAUGUAUGUUUAAGCUGGGGAUCAUUUAAAGAACAACAUACCUAGUGGGAAUGAUCUUCUGCCGUUUUUCCUUUUUUGAUGUAAGAAAAAAAUAUUAUAGUGAACCUUUGCAUGAUUUUAAUUUUCUAGCAAUAGUAGAGAUAGCCUGGCCUACUAACCAGUGCUGGGCUAGGCGUCAAUAGAUGUGCAAUUAAUUUAAAAUAUAACUCUGAACUCUCGUUCUUUGUGCUUCAGCUGAGAAGGAGAAUAUGCACCCGUGAGUGUGAAGGUAAAAUGGGGACAUGCAAGUGUCAGUGCUCUGAAAAGUGUAGGCUCGCAGGCAAAAAGAAGGCAUGAAUGAUGCCCUUCAUGAGGACCAGGGCAUCUUCCAACUUUCCUUUGAUGAUAAAUGAACAGCCUUAAAUUGUGGCUUGAAACGAUUACACUAGAUUUGCAAAGCAAGACACUGCUAUCAGCUAUAAUCUUUAAAAUGAACUCAUCAACUCAACGUUUUUUUAUUGCUUGCAAAUGUCACUAUCGUUAGCCAAAGUUUAUUAAAGCUCGGUAAUGUGCUUUCUACCAUGCAGGGGGUGAUGACUGAGUUGGGAGAGAUCCCUGGACAUCUAGAAUGUCUAAAGAGGCAGCUGGUCACCAGCCACAGAGGAGGUCUAUGAGAAAUUGCUAAGGAAGCGAUGGAGGUCUGCCCUUUUUCUCUCAAUAUGCCUGAGGACUCUAGUUUAACUGACAGGAUUUCACAGCUUUGCCUUACACAAAUCAAUAUUAAUUUAUAGGUUACAUUUUAAAAGCCUUGUCCGAGUUUUUGAUCAAUCUAGUCUAUGAAAAGCAUUUGCCUUAUUUGUUUUAUUAUGUAUCUAUCUUUAUCAUAUAUAAUACAUAUAUUAUGUUAUACAUAUAUAUUUUCUGAACAUUUAAAACUAAAUUGCAGACAUCAGGCCCUUUAAUCCUA